UUCGGUGUUGUUCGGUUUUUCUGAUUGGUUGCAAUAGGUUCUGACGCCGUUAAUCGAUUGAUAAGACGUUUCUUGCAGGGCUAUCGAUCGGUCCUACGGUGAUUUUUGUCCGUUUUUCACUUUUCUUUCAUUUUUUUGGUAUUUUGUGUGCAAAAUCUUUAUUUUUUUUUAAGGGUGUUUGCAUGUUUGAUCGGGAUAUUGUGCUGAAGUGUUUAUGUGGAACCCACGGUGGCCAAAAAAUUAAUGUUUCUUUUUUACUUUUCUACGUUCCAUUUUUU
RNAcentral lists this long non-coding RNA (278 nucleotides) under Gossypium raimondii (Peruvian cotton). RNAcentral describes it as "long non-coding RNA (GRAI_LNC009984)". The record is from RNAcentral. Lineage: Eukaryota; Viridiplantae; Streptophyta; Magnoliopsida; Malvales; Malvaceae.